RNAcentral lists this ribosomal RNA (460 nucleotides) under uncultured bacterium. RNAcentral describes it as "partial 16S ribosomal RNA". It matches the Rfam family "Bacterial small subunit ribosomal RNA", at positions 338 to 795 of the family's 1533-position model. The record is from RNAcentral.
CCUACGGGUGGCAGCAGUGAGGAAUAUUGGUCAAUGGGCGCAAGCCUGAACCAGCCAUGCAGCGUGAAGGAUGACUGCCCUACGAGUUGUAAACUGCUUUUGUACGGGAGUAAACUGAGGCACGUGUACCGUUUUGUAUGUACCUUAUGAAUAAGGAUAGGCUAACUCCGUGCCAGCAGCCGCAGUAAUACGGAGGGUGCAAGCGUUCUCCGGAUUUAUUGGGCUUAAAGGGAACGUAGAUGGGUUGUUAAGUCAGUUGCGAAAGCUUACGGCUCAACCGGAGAAGUGCAAUUGAUACUGGCAGACUUGAGUGCAGUUGAGGUAGGUGGAACUCGUGGUGUAGCGGUGAAAUGCUUAGAUAUCAGGAAGAACUCCGAUUGCGAAGGCAGCUCACUAGACUGUCACUGACGUUGAGGUUCGAAAGCGUGGGUAUCAAACAGGAUUAGAUACCCUUGUAGUC